GUGGGGAAUCUUGCACAAUGGGCGAAAGCCUGAUGCAGCGACGCCGCGUGGGGGAUGAAGCUUCUCGGAGUGUAAACCCCUUUCGACCGGGACGAAUGCCUCGCAAGAGGACUGACGGUACCGGUAUAAGAAGCCCCGGCUAACUACGUGCCAGCAGCCGCGGUAAGACGUAGGGGGCCAGCGUUGCUCGGAAUUACUGGGUGUAAAGGGUUCGUAGGCGGUGUGGCAAGUCGGGAGUGAAAUCUCUGAGCUUAACUCAGGGCCUGCUUCCGAAACUGCUGUGCUAGAGUGUGGGAGAGGCGCGUGGAAUUGCAGGUGUAGCGGUGAAAUGCGUAGAUAUCUGCAGGAACACCCGUGGCGAAAGCGGCGCGCUGGACCACUACUGACGCUGAGGAACGAAAGCUAGGGGAGCAAACAGGAUUAGAAACCCCGGUAGUCC
Molecule: ribosomal RNA, 439 nt
Filed under: uncultured bacterium
Lineage: Bacteria
Description: bacterial SSU rRNA
Rfam family: Bacterial small subunit ribosomal RNA
Source: RNAcentral